Molecule: ribosomal RNA, 485 nt
Filed under: uncultured bacterium
Lineage: Bacteria
Description: SSU rRNA
Rfam family: Bacterial small subunit ribosomal RNA
Source: RNAcentral
AGGACGAACGCUGGCGGCGUGCCUAACACAUGCAAGUCGAACGAGGUCCAACCGGUGGCAACACUGGUGAAGACCGAGUGGCGAACGGGUGAGUAACACGUGAGCAACCUGCCUCGAAGACUGGGAUAACCCCGGGAAACCGGAGCUAAUACCGGAUACCCCCACCGGGUCGCAUGGCCUGGUGAGGAAAUGGAUUCCGCUUUGAGAGGGGCUCGCGGCCUAUCAGCUUGAUGGUGGGGUAAUGGCCUACCAUGGCACCGACGGGUAGCUGGUCUGAGAGGACGAUCAGCCACACUGGGACUGAGACACGGCCCAGACUCCUACGGGAGGCAGCAGUGGGGAAUCUUGCGCAAUGGGCGAAAGCCUGACGCAGCAACGCCGCGUGUGGGACGAAGGCCUUCUGGGUUGUAAACCACUUUCAGCAGGGACGAUUGUGACGGUACCUGCAGAAGAAGCCCCGGCAACUACGUGCCAGCAGCCGCGGU